UACGGGGGGUGCAAGCGUUGUCCGGAAUCAUUGGGCGUAAAGCGUUCGUAGGCGGUAUGUCAAGUCUGAUGUUAAAGCCCGGGGCUCAACUCCGGUUCGGCAUUGGAUACUGGCAAACUAGAAUGUGGUAGAGGUAAAGGGAAUUCCUGGUGUAGCGGUGAAAUGCGUAGAUAUCAGGAGGAAUACCGUUAGCGAAGGCGGCAAUCUGGCUGGAAACUGACGCUGAGGUGCGAAAGCGUGGGUAGCAAACAGG
Molecule: ribosomal RNA, 253 nt
Filed under: uncultured bacterium
Lineage: Bacteria
Description: partial 16S ribosomal RNA
Rfam family: Bacterial small subunit ribosomal RNA
Source: RNAcentral